RNAcentral lists this ribosomal RNA (253 nucleotides) under uncultured bacterium. RNAcentral's name for it is "partial 16S ribosomal RNA". It matches the Rfam family "Bacterial small subunit ribosomal RNA", at positions 524 to 776 of the family's 1533-position model. The record is from RNAcentral.
UACGUAGGGUGCGAGCGUUGUCCGGAUUUAUUGGGCGUAAAGAGCUCGUAGGCGGUUUGUCGCGUCGGCCGUGAAAUCUCCACGCUUAACGUGGAGCGUGCGGUCGAUACGGGCAGACUUGAGUUCGGUAGGGGAGACUGGAAUUCCUGGUGUAGCGGUGAAAUGCGCAGAUAUCAGGAGGAACACCGGUGGCGAAGGCGGGUCUCUGGGCCGAUACUGACGCUGAGGCGCGAAAGCCAGGGGAGCAAACAGG